Molecule: ribosomal RNA, 544 nt
Filed under: uncultured bacterium
Lineage: Bacteria
Description: bacterial SSU rRNA
Rfam family: Bacterial small subunit ribosomal RNA
Source: RNAcentral
AAUAGAUACCCUGGUAGUCCACGCCGUAAACGAUGAGUGCUAAGUGUUGGGGGGUUUCCGCCCCCUCAGUGCUGCAGCUAACGCAUUAAGCACUCCGCCUGGGGAGUACGGUCGCAAGACUGAAACUCAAAGGAAUUGACGGGGGCCCGCACAAGCGGUGGAGCAUGUGGUUUAAUUCGAAGCAACGCGAAGAACCUUACCAGGUCUUGACAUCCCGGUGACCACUAUGGAGACAUAGUUUCCCCUUCGGGGGCAACGGUGACAGGUGGUGCAUGGUUGUCGUCAGCUCGUGUCGUGAGAUGUUGGGUUAAGUCCCGCAACGAGCGCAACCCUUAUUCUUAGUUGCCAUCAUUCAGUUGGGCACUCUAAGGAGACUGCCGGUGAUAAACCGGAGGAAGGUGGGGAUGACGUCAAAUCAUCAUGCCCCUUAUGACCUGGGCUACACACGUGCUACAAUGGACGGUACAAACGGUUGCCGAACCCGCGAGGGGAGCUAAUCCGAUAAACCGUUCUCAGUUCGGAUUGUAGGCUGCAACUCGCCUAC